This is a long non-coding RNA of Dalotia coriaria, 507 nucleotides long. RefSeq lists it as uncharacterized. The record is from RefSeq and is a predicted model, not a curated record. The transcript is spliced from 2 exons. Lineage: Eukaryota; Metazoa; Arthropoda; Insecta; Coleoptera; Staphylinidae.
ACAACAACAACAAAUUAUUUUAGAGGAAACAAAAUAAAUACUCAUUUAAUAAUAUUAGAUUAUAAACUAGAACUUAAUGCAACUUACUGAUAUAAAAACACAAUCAUGAUUUGUCAAUGUAAAAACUCAACAUUUCAAGUUUUUACUUAUAUUCACCGUGUGAUUUUACAUCUAAACGAGAGUCAAGUUGAAAACAACAAGGACAAGUUGAUAAAAGAUAAUCCGGUUUAUGAAUCUCGCAUGCAGCUCAUCCGGGCACAAUCCCAAAAUGCAAAUUCGGUGAAAUAAGUGCAUCGCAGCGCCAUCUCUGUGUUAUUUAAAAUGUCCAAAGGUAAUCAGCUUGUUUGUAUACGAGUAGUUGGCUAGUCAAAGAGAAACUUAAAUUAAUCUGUACGAGUGCUAAUAAUUCAUGAGUCAAAUAUACCAAUCGAAUACAUUUUGUACGAAAACGUUCGUUUUUUUUUUUUAUUUGUUUCUUUCCCAAAAACAUUACUGCAGUAUUAUCAA